AACCGAGCUCCCCGCGGAGCAUCACCCACGUCUCCCUGUCCUGUGUGAUAGGCUAUCGGUCAUUAUUAAAGGUGUGUUAGGCUAUGGGUCAUUAUUAAAGGUGUGUUAGGCUAUGGGUCAUUAUUAAAGGUGUGGGUUAGGGUUAGGGUUAUUAAAGGUGUGAUAGGCUAUGGGUUAUUAUUAAAGGUGUGUUAGGCUAUGGGUCAUUAUUAAAGGUGUGUUAGGCUAUGGGUUAUUAUUAAAGGUGUGUUAGGCUGUGGGUCAUUAUUAAAGGUGUGUUAGGCUAUGGGUUAUUAUUAAAGGUGUGUUAGGCUAUGGGUUAUUAUUAAAGGCGUGUUAUGAUUCUGCAG
Molecule: long non-coding RNA, 350 nt
Organism: Clupea harengus (Atlantic herring)
Lineage: Eukaryota; Metazoa; Chordata; Actinopteri; Clupeiformes; Clupeidae
Source: Ensembl